ACGAUUAUAGCUAAAUAUGUAGAUCAAAUUCUAUUUCACACUGUUUGACAACAAAAUAUUUGAAGACCAAAUUUUGGAUGCACUCUUCAGGCUUGCUUUACCAAAACCAUGAGGGAACAUUACUGCAUGAAGUUUUCAAUCAACUUCAUUCUUUAAAGCGGUCACACGAUAAAUAAAACAGAUGCAGGCAUGUAAAGCCCGGAUAAAAAGUGGAAUAUUCUUCAGCAAAUAGCUUUUAGCUAAGAAAUCUAUGGAGACAUCUUGCAUCAGAACAUUUAAUGAACUGGCAAAAUUGUGCAAGCCCUCAAGCAUGAAAAAAAUACAUAGUUGUUUAUACUUUGGUCACUUCCUGGUGGAAUUAUAGCUGCAGUUCUCUGAAAUGGCAAGACAAUUUAUAUGGUGACACUGGCUUGCAUUUACUGAACAAGAAUAAAGAUAGUUUGUCAACUCAGAUUAUGCUUCUAUGCCUAUGUCAAGAAAAUGAGAUGAAAAUUGCAAAGAUGAAAAAAUGGAUUGGGACCUUAUUGUGUGGUCAGCAAUGGUGGGAUGUCAACCUCUGUGGGGUCAAGGUAUGGUGUGGAAGAAGCUCAUUUGAUCAUUUCUAAAAUCAGCUAAGAGUGGCCCAAAUUUUUGUACAAAUUUAAUAAAGUAGAUGGUCUCGCAUGCGAAUCUAGCAGCAAGAAGAAAACCCCAACUUUGAGCUGUAACAGAGAGAGGAAUAAAAGCUCUCAUAUUCAGCUUCAAGACCUCAGCAACUGCUGGAAGCUAAAACAAAACAAAAAUCCUGGUUCUGUGAGAGCUUGACCCCACCCAUUUAAACUGCUUCUAUUUUUCCAACUUUUAAAAAAAACAACUCCUCCCAAGCUGUGUACUUUUUUGGCUUUGAACAGACCACACAGUGCUCUCACUCGACCUCUCUUCAGUUAAAAAAAAAGACAAAAUACACCUCAUUAAGCCGUAGUAUUGGCAUACUUUACCCUUUAAAAAAAUGAGUCAUCAAUAUACAAGGACAUCUCUUUCAUUCCAGGAGGAAACAAUGACAAUAGUGCAGAAAAAGUCAAGAGGGUCAUGGGCAGGCCAACAUUUGACUCCUCACACCCUCUUAUGAGAAUAAGACACAAACUCUGACUGCUCUGAGUACCUGACUGACUGCUUUCAAACUCCUCGGCAGAUAUUUAAGGCUGCCCUUGUCUUAUUUUGCUGGGAUCUCUGAACAAAGCCUAUCCCCUUCCUUCUGACUGAGGCCAGCUAACAACUGUGAAGAGCUUCCCAGCUUUGUGGUCGCAGUAAAUGAUAUGACAAGACAGCACUUCCAUGAGACUGGCAUGUCUGACCAAAGGGAUAAAGUGCAAAAUGUCAAAACAGAGGAAAGAAAGGGCAGAGAUGUUAUGACAUCAGAAUGAGUGAGUAGUAUGACUGCAAACAAACAGGCUGGAGGUGCAGCCUGGUCGAUUUCAUGAGCUGGGUGUGAGCCCCUUAGCACAGUAUCCUUGCUGUAGAAAACAAUAUUGUUAUCAUUGUGCCUUGAGUUGUAGCAUGAAGUGUAGAACUGUCCUAUAAGUGAAUUGGAGAUGUGCCAUGUAAUUUUUUUAGAUGUUGGCAUUUAGCCAAUGUCAUUGGCUAUAGAUGUGAGGUGUAUGGGGCCGCUGUCCAUGUUCAGAGGUAUCGGUGCCCAGUGUCCAACAUGGAGGUCCUUGGAAGCAGGUGGAGACCAGAACUCACCAAGCCCUGCUCUGACUGCCUAGCUAAUUCUCAAACAAGUCCACAUAAGCCAUUGUGAUUGUAAGCAUUAUGCAUGUAAAUUUUUGAUGUAUUAUUAUUUUGUGCCAGACCUUGCUUCAGUAGGAACAAUGGAGGAUACCUAAUUUUCAGCACU
Long non-coding RNA from Stegostoma tigrinum, 1876 nucleotides. RefSeq lists it as uncharacterized. Lineage: Eukaryota; Metazoa; Chordata; Chondrichthyes; Orectolobiformes; Stegostomatidae. The record is from RefSeq and is a predicted model, not a curated record. The transcript has 4 exons.